Homo sapiens (human) is the source of this 295-nucleotide long non-coding RNA. RefSeq lists it as uncharacterized. The record is from RefSeq and is a predicted model, not a curated record. The transcript has 2 exons. NCBI's taxonomy places the organism in Eukaryota, Metazoa, Chordata, Mammalia, Primates, Hominidae.
AGAGCAGCUCCUUUGGCACCCGCCAUUCAGUAGGUCCUGAGUUCUUGUCCUGCAUCCAAGAAGAAUGAUGUUACGUGGACAACCAGAGGGACCCGGAAGCCCUCACCUCCAGUUGUCCCGCCUUACCGGAUCCAACCAAUGUACAGCUGACACAUAUUGAUUGAUGUCUCAUGUCUCCCUGAAAUGUAUAAAAGCAAGCUGUACCACGACCACCUUGGGCACAUGUCCUCAGUACCUCCUGAGGCUGCGUCUUGGGCGCGUCCUUAACCAUGGCAAAAUAAACUUUCUAAAUUGA